AGUGAACGCUGGCGGUAGGCCUAACACAUGCAAGUCGAACGGCAGCACAGUAAGAGCUUGCUCUUACGGGUGGCGAGUGGCGGACGGGUGAGGAAUACAUCGGAAUCUACUUUUUCGUGGGGGAUAACGUAGGGAAACUUACGCUAAUACCGCAUACGACCUACGGGUGAAAGCAGGGGAUCUUCGGACCUUGCGCGAUUGAAUGAGCCGAUGUCGGAUUAGCUAGUUGGCGGGGUAAAGGCCCACCAAGGCGACGAUCCGUAGCUGGUCUGAGAGGAGGAUCAGCGACACUGGAACUGAGACACGGUCCAGACUCAUACGGGAGGCAGCAGUGGGGAAUAUUGGACAAUGGGCGCAAGCCUGAUCCAGCCAUACCGCGUGGGUGAAGAAGGCCUUCGGGUUGUAAAGCCGUUUUGUUGGGAAAGAAAAGCAGCAGGUUAAUACCCCGCUGUUCUGACGGUACCAAAAGAAUAAGCACCGGCUAACUUCGUG
Molecule: ribosomal RNA, 492 nt
Filed under: uncultured bacterium
Lineage: Bacteria
Description: partial 16S ribosomal RNA
Rfam family: Bacterial small subunit ribosomal RNA
Source: RNAcentral